This 240-nucleotide long non-coding RNA is filed under the name Ananas comosus (pineapple). RNAcentral's name for it is "long non-coding RNA (ACOM_LNC012439)". Lineage: Eukaryota; Viridiplantae; Streptophyta; Magnoliopsida; Poales; Bromeliaceae. The record is from RNAcentral.
UGAUUUAGCCCUAGGGGCCAUUGUAUGAUUUUAUACUGUUGCAGUAUCAUCAUAUUGAGAAUUCCAGGUAGUUUAGAUUUCAGUUACACUCGUGCGGGGAUGCCGAGUGAAUUUUUUAAAAUAGCGUUUAGACUGUUCCGAACUGUUGGGUGCCGUCGGGGUUGACGGUGGACCAGUAUCGCCUGUUUGGCGUCGGAUUGUAUCGAGGGCACGUUACUUGUUGGUUGUUAGACCAAUUAG